Molecule: ribosomal RNA, 792 nt
Filed under: uncultured bacterium
Lineage: Bacteria
Description: partial 16S ribosomal RNA
Rfam family: Bacterial small subunit ribosomal RNA
Source: RNAcentral
AGAGUUUGAUCCUGGCUCAGGACGAACGCUGGCGGCAUGCCUAAUACAUGCAAGUCGAACGCUGAAGCACUCUGCUUGCAGAGUGCGGAUGAGUGGCGAACGGGUGAGUAACACGUGGGAAAUCUGCCUAGGAGUGGGGGAUAACAUUCGGAAACGAAUGCUAAUACCGCAUAUCUUUUUGAACCGCAUGGUUCUUAAACGAAAGACGGCUUCGGCUGUCGCUCUCAGAUGAUCCCGCGGCGUAUUAGUUAGUUGGUGGGGUAAAGGCCUACCAAGACAAUGAUACGUAGCCGACCUGAGAGGGUGAUCGGCCACACUGGGACUGAGACACGGCCCAGACUCCUACGGGAGGCAGCAGUAGGGAAUCUUCCACAAUGGGCGAAAGCCUGAUGGAGCAAUGCCGCGUGAAUGAAGAAGGUCUUCGGAUCGUAAAGUUCUGUUAUUAGAGAAGAACAAGUCAAGGAGUAACUGUCUUGGCUUUGACGGUACCUAACCAGAAAGUCACGGCUAACUACGUGCCAGCAGCCGCGGUAAUACGUAGGUGACGAGCGUUGUCCGGAAUUAUUGGGCGUAAAGGGAGCGCAGGCGGCUGGAAUAGUCUGAUGUGAAAGCCCACGGCUUAACCGGGGGAAGGUCAUUGGAAACUGUCCAACUUGAAUGGCAAAAAAGGAAGGGGAAUUUCCUGUGUAGCGGGGAAAUGCUUAAAAAAAAGGGAGGACCCCCCGGGGGGCAAAGGCAAUUUAAUGGGUCUUGAAAUUUGACGCCUGAAGGCCCAAAAGCGGGGGGGUAAAA